Molecule: ribosomal RNA, 316 nt
Filed under: uncultured bacterium
Lineage: Bacteria
Description: bacterial SSU rRNA
Rfam family: Bacterial small subunit ribosomal RNA
Source: RNAcentral
GAUGAACGCUAGCGACAGGCCUAACACAUGCAAGUCGAGGGGCAGCACGAAGUAAGCUUGCUUACUUUGGUGGCGACCGGCGCACGGGUGCGUAACGGGUGUGCAAUCUGUCCAGUAAUCGGGGAAUAGCCCAGCGAAAGUUGGAUUAAUGCUCCCAUGUGAGUUUUAGAGGCAUCGUACUUUAAUUUGAAACGUAAGGAUUAUGGGUGAGCACGCUUCUGAUUAGGUAGUUGGUGAGGUAACGGCUCACCAAGCCGACGAUCAGUAGGGGUUCUGAGAGGAAGGUCCCCCACAUUGGAACUGAGACACGGUCCAA